This 318-nucleotide long non-coding RNA is filed under the name Ananas comosus (pineapple). RNAcentral describes it as "long non-coding RNA (ACOM_LNC002554)". Lineage: Eukaryota; Viridiplantae; Streptophyta; Magnoliopsida; Poales; Bromeliaceae. The record is from RNAcentral.
UUCUGUGGCCGCACAAAAAAGUUGGUGAAAAAUACAAGAGGUCGGUAGUUUCAGACAUACCAGUCAAAAUCGUUGAAAUAUAUUCAAAAUAGUACAUACAUAUCCCUGAUAUCUAGAAGGGGAAUUCCAUGAUACUUCAACUUAGGAGAGCUAGGUAGCCAGAGGUAUGCUUAUGUAAUUUUGCCAAAAAGAGAGAGAUAGGAAGGUGAAAUUCAGAUUGUUCACUUACACAGCAGCGCCAUGCUCUAACAGAAGUGCGACGCAAUCCUUCCGCCCAUAACCUGCAGCAUAAUGCAGUGCUGUGUUCUUGUUCUUGUC